UACGGAGGGUGCGAGCGUUAUCCGGAAUUACUGGGUUUAAAGGGUGCGUAGGCGGCCAGGUAAGUCAGGAGUGAAAGUUUGCGGCUCAACCGUAAAAUUGCUUUUGAUACUGCCAGGCUAGAAUUAGGAUGAGGUCAGCGGAAUGUGGCAUGUAGCGGUGAAAUGCAUAGAUAUGCCAUAGAACACCAAUUGCGAAGGCAGCUGGCUAGACCUGGAUUGACGCUGAGGCACGAAAGCGUGGGGAGCGAACAGGAUUAGAAACCCCCGUAGUCC
RNAcentral lists this ribosomal RNA (273 nucleotides) under uncultured bacterium. RNAcentral's name for it is "partial 16S ribosomal RNA". It matches the Rfam family "Bacterial small subunit ribosomal RNA", at positions 524 to 796 of the family's 1533-position model. The record is from RNAcentral.